RNAcentral lists this ribosomal RNA (433 nucleotides) under uncultured bacterium. RNAcentral's name for it is "partial 16S ribosomal RNA". It matches the Rfam family "Bacterial small subunit ribosomal RNA", at positions 29 to 507 of the family's 1533-position model. The record is from RNAcentral.
AACGAACGCUGGCGGCAGGCUUAACACAUGCAAGUCGAACGGAUCCUUCGGGAUUAGUGGCGGACGGGUGAGUAACGCGUGGGAACGUACCCUUUGCUACGGAAUAACUCAGGGAAACUUGAGCUAAUACCGUAUGUGCCCUACGGGGGAAAGAUUUAUCGGCAAAGGAUCGGCCCGCGUUGGAUUAGCUAGUUGGUGGGGUAAUGGCCUACCAAGGCGACGAUCCAUAGCUGGUCUGAGAGGAUGAUCAGCCACACUGGGACUGAGACACGGCCCAGACUCCUACGGGAGGCAGCAGUGGGGAAUAUUGGACAAUGGGCGCAAGCCUGAUCCAGCCAUGCCGCGUGAGUGAUGAAGGUCUUAGGAUUGUAAAGCUCUUUCACCGGUGAAGAUAAUGACGGUAGCCGGAGAAGAAGCCCCGGCUAACUUCGUG